GACGAACGCUGGCGGCGUGCUUAACACAUGCAAGUCGAACGGAAAGGCCCUGCUUUUGUGGGGUGCUCGAGUGGCGAACGGGUGAGUAACACGUGAGUAACCUGCCCUUGACUUUGGGAUAACUUCAGGAAACUGGGGCUAAUACCGGAUAGGAGCUCCUGCUGCAUGGUGGGGGUUGGAAAGUUUCGGCGGUUGGGGAUGGACUCGCGGCUUAUCAGCUUGUUGGUGGGGUAGUGGCUUACCAAGGCUUUGACGGGUAGCCGGCCUGAGAGGGUGACCGGCCACAUUGGGACUGAGAUACGGCCCAGACUCCUACGGGAGGCAGCAGUGGGGAAUAUUGCAAAAUGGGCGGAAGCCUGAUGCAGCAACGACGCGUGCGGGAUGACGGCCUUCGGGUUGUAAACCGCUUUCGCCUGUGACGAAGCGUGAGUGACGGUAAUGGGUAAAGAAGCACCGGCUAACUACGUG
Molecule: ribosomal RNA, 468 nt
Filed under: uncultured bacterium
Lineage: Bacteria
Description: partial 16S ribosomal RNA
Rfam family: Bacterial small subunit ribosomal RNA
Source: RNAcentral